ACGAACGCUGGCGGCGUGCUUAUCACAUGCAAGUCGAACGGAAAGGCCCUGCUUUUGUGGGGUGCUCGAGUGGCGAACGGGUGAGUAACACGUGAGUAACCUGCCCUUGACUUUGGGAUAACUUCAGGAAACUGGGGCUAAUACCGGAUAGGAGCUCCUGCUGCAUGGUGGGGGUUGGAAAGUUUCGGCGGUUGGGGAUGGACUCGCGGCUUAUCAGCUUGUUGGUGGGGUAGUGGCUUACCAAGGCUUUGACGGGUAGCCGGCCUGAGAGGGUGACCGGCCACAUUGGGACUGAGAUACGGACCAGACUCCUACGGGAGGCAGCAGUGGGGAAUAUUGCACAAUGGGCGGAAGCCUGAUGCAGCAACGCCGCGUGCGGGAUGACGGCCUUCGGGUUGUAAACCGCUUUCGCCUGUGACGAAGCGUGAGUGACGGUAAUGGGUAAAGAAGCACCGGCUAACUACGUG
Molecule: ribosomal RNA, 467 nt
Filed under: uncultured bacterium
Lineage: Bacteria
Description: partial 16S ribosomal RNA
Rfam family: Bacterial small subunit ribosomal RNA
Source: RNAcentral